Molecule: ribosomal RNA, 422 nt
Filed under: uncultured bacterium
Lineage: Bacteria
Description: partial 16S ribosomal RNA
Rfam family: Bacterial small subunit ribosomal RNA
Source: RNAcentral
AAUUCUGGACAAUGGGAGAAAGUCUGAUCCAGCCACGCCGCGUGUGUGAAGAAGGUCUUCGGAUUGUAAAGCACUUUAAGUUGGGAGGAAGGGCAGUAAGUUAAUACUUUUCUGGUUUGACGUUACCGACAGUACAAGCCCCGGCUAACUUCGUUCACGCACCCGCGGUAAAACGAAGGGCGCAAGCGUUAAUCGGAAUUACUGAGCGUAAAGGGCGCGUAGGUGGUUUGUUAAGUUGGAAGUGAAAGCCCCGGGCUCAACCUGGGAACUGCUUUCAAAACUGGCAAGCUAGAGUAUGGCAGAGGGUGGUGGAAUUUCCUGUGUAGCGGUGAAAUGCGUAGAUAUAGGAAGGAACACCAGUGGCGAAGGCGACCACCUGGGCUAAUACUGACACUGAGGUGCGAAAGCGUGGGGAGCAAACA